Molecule: ribosomal RNA, 373 nt
Filed under: uncultured organism
Description: partial 16S ribosomal RNA
Rfam family: Bacterial small subunit ribosomal RNA
Source: RNAcentral
GGAGGGUGCAAGCGUUGUUCGGAAUCACUGGGCGUAAAGAGCACGUAGGCUGAUUUAUAAGCCAGCUGUGAAAGCCCGGGAGCUUAACUCCGGAAUUGCAGUUGGAACUGUAAACCUUGAAUGUCUGAGAGGGUGGGGGAAUUCCUGGUGUAGAAGUGAAAUUCGUAGAUAUCAGGAGGAACACCUGAGGCGAAGGCGCCUACCUGGCAGUGCAUUGACGCUGAGGUGCGAAAGCGUGGGUAGCAAACAGGAUUAGAUACCCUGGUGGUCCACGCCGUAAACGAUGAAUACUAGGUGUCUGGAGAGUUUAACCCUUCAGGUACCAAAGCUAACGCAUUAAGUAUUCCGCCUGGGGACUACGGUCGCAAGGCUA